RNAcentral lists this ribosomal RNA (406 nucleotides) under uncultured bacterium. RNAcentral's name for it is "bacterial SSU rRNA". It matches the Rfam family "Bacterial small subunit ribosomal RNA", at positions 355 to 776 of the family's 1533-position model. The record is from RNAcentral.
UAGGGAAUUUUGCGCAAUGGGCGAAAGCCUGACGCAGCAACACCGCGUGAACGACGAAGCCUUUUGGGGUGUAAAGUUCUGUCAGCAGGGAAGAAUAAAUGACUGUACCUGCAAAGGAAGCAUCGGCUAACUACGUGCCAGCAGCCGCGGUAAGACGUAGGAUGCAAGCGUUGUCCGGAAUUAUUGGGCGUAAAGAGUUCGUAGGCGGCAUAAUAAGUCUGGUGUUAAAUCUCGGAGCUCAACUCCGAACAGGCACUGGAUACUAUUAAGCUAGAGUACAGAAGAGGCAAGGGGAAUUCCUAGUGUAGCGGUGAAAUGCGUAGAUAUUAGGAGGAACACCAGUGGCGUAAGCGCCUUGCUGGGCUGUUACUGACGCUGAGGAACGAAAGCCAGGGGAGCAAAUGGG